CAUUUUCCAUUUUAAAAAUGUUAUAAUUUCAUAUACCUAGAGCAGUGUUUCCCAACCUUUUUACUACCACGGACCAUUUCGAUAAUUUUUAAUAGGUCGCGGACCACCUCAAUUGAUGGGCUCCUUGUAACAACUAGAUAAGUUCACUUUUUAAAAUUGUUCAGGAGAAACAAAAUUGUAAGUAAUAAUUAUUUUGAUAAUAAUGGAAACAAUUUAUCUUUCACUAAUAAUGUUU
Molecule: non-coding RNA, 235 nt
Organism: Cinara cedri
Lineage: Eukaryota; Metazoa; Arthropoda; Insecta; Hemiptera; Aphididae
Source: the annotation of a GenBank genome assembly